RNAcentral lists this long non-coding RNA (623 nucleotides) under Nicotiana benthamiana. Its description in RNAcentral is "long non-coding RNA (NBEN_LNC017407)". The record is from RNAcentral. Lineage: Eukaryota; Viridiplantae; Streptophyta; Magnoliopsida; Solanales; Solanaceae.
AAUCGAAAACAAAUGAUUUUGAAAAGAAAAUUUGGGGAAAACGAAACAUACGAGCAUAAUAUAGAAAAUUUGGGGAAAACAUAUGUGUGGUAGAGAACAAAACAUACGAGCAUAAUAUAGAAAAAACACAUAAAGAAAGAACAGGAAGAGUCAAAAAGAUGUUUUGAAAACCUUUUUAGAAAUCCUAAAUCGAAAACAAAUGAUUUCGAAAAGAAAAUUUGGGGAAAACACUUUACAUACCAGUGGAAUACAAAUACAUCGUAGAUCUAAGAAUACAAAAAAGAGAAAAACCUUGAAUACCUUAGGGUUUCAGACAUGAAAAAGGCUGGAAAGAAAGUCUGAUCCUAAGCCAGAUGAGUGAGGAUCAAGCUCUUGAGGCUUGAAUAUACCGGAGCAAAGGUCGGAUAAGCCAUAGAACCAAAGAUCUGAGAAAAUCUGAAAGAGAAUUGUCGAGGUCAAGCUUCAGAACCUUGCAUUCCCGAGGUUUAAUGGCAGAGAGGGGUGAGUACAGACCAUCCAUAGACCGAGAAGCCAUGGAUUCCGGUGAAAGUAUGGUGGAAAAAGGGUCAGAGAUGAUUAAGGUUCGAAGAACCUUUGAGAGAGUUGGAGAGACAAUGUGAUUC